Molecule: long non-coding RNA, 658 nt
Organism: Chinchilla lanigera (long-tailed chinchilla)
Lineage: Eukaryota; Metazoa; Chordata; Mammalia; Rodentia; Chinchillidae
Exons: 2
Source: RefSeq, a predicted model, not a curated record
ACAGUCAGUGAGAGAGACACAAAGCCAGCCAGCUUUACAAAAUGUGUAUCACCCAAGCAAGGGGGCCACAGCAGCCCAUACGAUGGUGUAAAGGGGAAAAAGAUCAUACAUUCUAAACUGCACCUGGAGAAGAAUCCCUUUUUGAAUGACAGAAUACUUCCAGAGCAACCCAAUGGAGUAUGUCUGCACAGGUAGCCAUUUAUAAUUUCACGGAUUAAUAUAUGAGGUUAUCAAGGCCAGCACCAAAGCAAGAACAUGAAGAUGACGGGACUGAGGCGGCUGGCUGGGCAGAAGGGCUGUCUACAUUUGCUGUGGGCCCCUUCUGAGGCUCCUAAAGUCUACCGAACACAACAAGCUGAUACUGUCCCAGAGCAGCUCCCAUAUUGUGAGGACACAGCCUAGGCUCUGGGGUCACAGUCUAACUGCCCAUGCCAGCUCAAAUACUAAGCUGGACAUGCACAAUCGGAGCACAAAUUCAGGCAAGUCGUCAAACCCCACAAAUAUGCCACCACAGAGGAUUAUUUGUGACUACUCAAGUGAGAGAGAUAUGAGAAGAAUCUGGCAAUCUGUUGGCACAUAACUACUAUUUAUUGUUUGCUAGUUCUAAUACUACCAAUACCUAACACUAAUAAAAGUAGAGUUGGUUAUAAAAAAGUAA